UACGUAGGGUGCGAGCGUUGUCCGGAAUUAUUGGGCGUAAAGAGCUCGUAGGCGGUGUGUCACGUCGGCCGUGAAAACCUGCAGCUUAACUGUGGGCGUGCGGUCGAUACGGGCAUCACUGGAGUUCGGCAGGGGAGACUGGAAUUCCUGGUGUAGCGGUGAAAUGCGCAGAUAUCAGGAGGAACACCGGUGGCGAAGGCGGUUCUCUGGGCCUGUACUGACGCUGAGGAACGAAAGCGUGGGGAGCGAACAGG
Molecule: ribosomal RNA, 254 nt
Filed under: uncultured bacterium
Lineage: Bacteria
Description: partial 16S ribosomal RNA
Rfam family: Bacterial small subunit ribosomal RNA
Source: RNAcentral